UAGGGAAUCUUCCGCAAUGGGCGAAAGCCUGACGGAGCAACGCCGCGUGAGUGAUGAAGGUCUUCGGAUCGUAAAACUCUGUUAUUAGGGAAGAACAAAUGUGUAAGUAACUAUGCACGUCUUGACGGUACCUAAUCAGAAAGCCACGGCUAACUACGUGCCAGCAGCCGCGGUAAUACGUAGGUGGCAAGCGUUAUCCGGAAUUAUUGGGCGUAAAGCGCGCGUAGGCGGUUUUUCAAGUCUGAUGUGAAAGCCCACGGCUCAACCGUGGUGGGUCAUUGGAAACUGGAAAACUUGAGUGCAGAAGAGGAAAGUGGAAUUCCAUGUGUAGCGGUGAAAUGCGCAGAGAUAUGGAGGAACACCAGUGGCGAAGGCGACUUUCUGGUCUGUAACUGACGCUGAUGUGCGAAAGCGUGGGGAUCAAACAGG
This 429-nucleotide ribosomal RNA is filed under the name Actinomycetes bacterium. Its description in RNAcentral is "Actinobacteria bacterium partial 16S ribosomal RNA". It matches the Rfam family "Bacterial small subunit ribosomal RNA", at positions 355 to 776 of the family's 1533-position model. Lineage: Bacteria; Bacillati; Actinomycetota; Actinomycetes. The record is from RNAcentral.